AAUGGGGGCAACCCUGAUCCAGCAAUGCCGCGUGAAUGAUGAAGGCCUUAGGGUUGUAAAGUUCUUUUAUUGAUGACGAUAAUGACGGUAAUCAAUGAAUAAGCACCGGCUAACUUCGUGCCAGCAGCCGCGGUAAUACGAAGGGUGCUAGCGUUGUUCGGAAUGACUGGGCGUAAAGGGUGCGUAGGCGGCCAGAAGCGUCUGAUGUGAAAUCCCUGGGCUUAACCUAGGAACUGCAUUGGAUACGGUCUGGCUAGAGUCCGCGAGAGGAAGAUGGAAUUGUGCGUGUAGAGGUGAAAUUCGUAGAUAUGCACAAGAACACCGGUGGCGAAGGCGAUCUUCUGGAGCGGUACUGACGCUAAGGCACGAAAGUGUGGGGAGCAAA
RNAcentral lists this ribosomal RNA (385 nucleotides) under uncultured bacterium. RNAcentral's name for it is "bacterial SSU rRNA". It matches the Rfam family "Bacterial small subunit ribosomal RNA", at positions 370 to 772 of the family's 1533-position model. The record is from RNAcentral.